GAGUUUGAUCGUGGCUCAGAACGAACGCUGGCGGCGUGCCUAACACAUGCAAGUCGAGCGGGAAAGUUCCCUUCGGGGGGCGAGUACAGCGGCGCACGGGUGAGUAACACGUAGGUAACCUACCUGCGAGACUGGGAUAACCUGCCGAAAGGCGGGCUAAUACCAGAUAAGACCACGAGGGCUGCGGUCCUUGGGGUAAAAGGUGGCCUCUUCAUGAAAGCUACUACUCGCGGAUGGGCCUGCGCGCCAUUAGCUAGUUGGCGGGGUAACGGCCCACCAAGGCAAAGAUGGCUAGCUGGUCUGAGAGGAUGGCCAGCCACACUGGGACUGAGACACGGCCCAGACUCCUACGGGAGGCAGCAGUGGGGAAUAUUGCGCAAUGGGCGAAAGCCUGACGCAGCGACGCCGCGUGGGUGAUGAAGGCCUUC
RNAcentral lists this ribosomal RNA (428 nucleotides) under uncultured delta proteobacterium. Its description in RNAcentral is "bacterial SSU rRNA". It matches the Rfam family "Bacterial small subunit ribosomal RNA", at positions 9 to 419 of the family's 1533-position model. Lineage: Bacteria; Deltaproteobacteria. The record is from RNAcentral.